GUCCACGCUGUAAACGAUGUGUGCUAGACGUUGGGGAGCCUAGCUCUUCGGUGUCGCAGCUAACGCGGUAAGCACACCGCCUGGGGAGUACGGCCGCAAGGUUAAAACUCAAAGGAAUUGACGGGGGCCCGCACAAGCGGUGGAGCAUGUGGUUUAAUUCGACGCAACGCGAAGAACCUUACCAGCCCUUGACAUGUCCCGUAUGGGUCGGGGAGACCCGGUCCUUCAGUUCGGCUGGCGGGAACACAGGUGCUGCAUGGCUGUCGU
RNAcentral lists this ribosomal RNA (267 nucleotides) under uncultured bacterium. RNAcentral describes it as "partial 16S ribosomal RNA". It matches the Rfam family "Bacterial small subunit ribosomal RNA", at positions 793 to 1055 of the family's 1533-position model. The record is from RNAcentral.